This 486-nucleotide ribosomal RNA is filed under the name uncultured bacterium. RNAcentral's name for it is "partial 16S ribosomal RNA". It matches the Rfam family "Bacterial small subunit ribosomal RNA", at positions 899 to 1397 of the family's 1533-position model. The record is from RNAcentral.
ACUCAAAGGAAUUGACGGGGCCCCGCACAAGCAGCGGAGCGUGUGGUUUAAUUCGAUGCUACGCGAAGAACCUUACCCGGGUUUGACAUGCAGGUAGUAGUGAAGCGAAAGCAGAACGACCCUUCGGGGAGCCUGCACAGGUGCUGCAUGGCUGUCGUCAGCUCGUGCCGUGAGGUGUUAGGUUAAGUCCUGUAACGAGCGCAACCCCUGUCGUCAGUUACACGUGUCUGACGAGACUGCCGGCCGUAAGCCGGAGGAAGGCGGGGAUGAUGUCAAGUCAGCAUGGCCUUUAUAUCCGGGGCUACACACACGCUACAAUGGCCGGUACAAUGGGUCGCCAAGCCGCGAGGCGGAGCCAAUCCUAAAAAGCCGGUCUCAGUUCGGAUUGCAGGCUGCAACCCGCCUGCAUGAAGUUGGAGUUGCUAGUAACCGCGCGUCAGCCAUAGUGCGGUGAAUACGUUCCCGGGGCUUGUACACACCGCCCGU